CCUACGGGAGGCAGCAGUGAGGGAUAUUGGUCAAUGGGGGAAACCCUGAACCAGCAACGCCGCGUGAGGGAAGACGGUUUUCGGAUUGUAAACCUCUGUCCUCUGUGAAGAUAAUGACGGUAGCAGAGGAGGAAGCUCCGGCUAACUACGUGCCAGCAGCCGCGGUAAUACGUAGGGAGCGAGCGUUGUCCGGAUUUACUGGGUGUAAAGGGUGCGUAGGCGGCCCUGCAAGUCAGAAGUGAAAUCCAUGGGCUUAACCCGUGAACUGCUUUUGAAACUGCAGGACUUGAGUGGAGUAGAGGUAGGCGGAAUGCCCGGUGUAGCGGUGAAAUGCGUAGAGAUCGGGAGGAACACCAGUGGCGAAGGCGGCCUGCCGGGGUGCGACUGACGCUGAGGCUCGAAGGUGCGGGUAUCAAACAGGAUUAGAUACCCCAGUAGUC
RNAcentral lists this ribosomal RNA (440 nucleotides) under uncultured bacterium. RNAcentral describes it as "partial 16S ribosomal RNA". It matches the Rfam family "Bacterial small subunit ribosomal RNA", at positions 338 to 795 of the family's 1533-position model. The record is from RNAcentral.